GGAAUAUUCAUCCUUGAAGAAAUUGAGAGAUUAAGAAACACGACAUGAAAUAAUUUAAUGGACUGAAUCAUCUACUAGACGAUCCUUUAAUUAGGUUCAAACAAUUGGAUACGUGAUGGAAGUCAGCAAUAACACAAGUACGAACAACGAAAUCAGGAUGAAAAGGAAAAGGAAAAAAAUCGUUGCAGGUGAAACAGCAGCCUAAAUGGAAUCCAAAGCCUGAAGAACAUCAACUUUCACAUCUUCAAAAUCUUCCACUCCAAAGCUAAAUCGGACCAAGUUAUCCAAGAUGCCAUACUUUGCUCUAUCAGACUGGCUAAGAUCCCAAUAAGACAUUAUUGCUGGUUGGUCCACAAUGCUCUCACAACCUCCAAACGAUGGAGCAAUAUAAGGAAUCCUCAGAGCAUCCACAAAUUUUGCAGUAGUUAGGAGGUCUCCAUCAACCUCAAAACUGACCACACCACCAAAGCCAGUCAUU
This 478-nucleotide unclassified non-coding RNA is filed under the name Hevea brasiliensis (rubber tree). The record is from RNAcentral. Lineage: Eukaryota; Viridiplantae; Streptophyta; Magnoliopsida; Malpighiales; Euphorbiaceae.